GGAAUUACUGGGCGUAAAGCGUUCGUAGGCGGUUAUUUAANGUUAGAUGUGAAAGCCCCGGGCUUAACCUGGGAACUGCAUUUAAAACUGGGUAACUCGAGUUUAGGAGAGGGAAGUGGAAUUUCAGGUGUAGCAGUGAAAUGCGUAGAGAUCUGAAGGAACACCAGUGGCGAAGGCGACUUCCUGGACUAAAACUGACGCUGAGGAACGAAAGCGUGGGUAGCAAACGGGAUUAGAUACCCCGGUAGUCCACGCCGUAAACGAUGUCAACUAGCCGUUGGGCCUAUAUACAGGUUUAGUGGCGGAGCUAACGUAUUAAGUUGACCGCCUGGGGAGUACGGCCGCAAGGUUAAAACUCAAAUGAAUUGACGGGGGCCCGCACAAGCGGUGGAGCAUGUGGUUUAAUUCGAUGCAACGCGAAGAACCUUACCUACCCUUGACAUCCAGAGAAUCUGUUAGAGAUAGUAGAGUGCCUUCGGGAACUCUGAGACAGGUGCUGCAUGGCUGUCGUCAGCUCGUGUCGUGAGAUGUUGGGUUAAGUCCCGUAACGAGCGCANCCCUUAUCCUUAGUUGCCAGCAUGUAAUGAUGGGAACUCUAAGGAGACUGCCGGUGU
Molecule: ribosomal RNA, 614 nt
Filed under: uncultured bacterium
Lineage: Bacteria
Description: bacterial SSU rRNA
Rfam family: Bacterial small subunit ribosomal RNA
Source: RNAcentral